AGUGAACGCUGGCGGUAGGCCUAACACAUGCAAGUCGAACGGCAGCACAGUAAGAGCUUGCUCUUACGGGUGGCGAGUGGCGGACGUGUGAGGAAUACAUCCGAAUCUACUUUUUCGUGGGGGUUAACGUAGGGAAACUUACGCUAAUACCGCAUACGACCUACGGGUGAAAGCAGGGGAUCUUCUGACCUUGCGCGAUUGAAUGAGCCGAUGUCGGAUUAGCUAGUUGGCGGGGUAAUGGCCCACCAAGGCGACGAUCCGUAGCUGGUCUGAGAGGAUGAUCGGCCACACUGGAACUGAGACACGGUCCAGACGCCUGCGGGAGGCAGCAGUGGGGAAUAUUGGACAGUGGGCGCAAGCCUGGUCCAGCCAGACCACGUGGGAGGAGAAGGCGUUCGGGUUGUGAAGACGGUUUGUUGGGAGAGAAAAGCAGCAGGUUAAGACCCCGCUGUUCUGACGGUACCCGAAGAAUAAGUACCGGCUAACUUCGUG
Molecule: ribosomal RNA, 492 nt
Filed under: uncultured bacterium
Lineage: Bacteria
Description: partial 16S ribosomal RNA
Rfam family: Bacterial small subunit ribosomal RNA
Source: RNAcentral